GACGAACGCUGGCGGCGUGCUUAACACAUGCAAGUCCAACGGAAAGGCCUGCUUUCCCUUGUGGAUUGCGGGUACUCGAGUGGCGAACGGGUGAGUAACACGUGAGUGAUCUGCCCCCAACUUGGGUAUAAGCCUGGGAAACUGGGUCUAAUUCCCGAUAGGACUGCAGGGUGGUUCCUGUGUUGGAAUACGAUUUUCUAGUGGGUGGGGAUGAGCUCGCGGCCUAUCAGCUUGUUGGUGGGGUAAUGGCCUACCAAGGCGGCGACGGGUAGCCAGACUGUGAGGGUGGACGGGCAAAUUGGGACUGGGAUCCGGCCCAGACUGGUACGAGCGGCAGCAGUGGUGGAUAUUGCAGCAUAGGCGGGAGCCUGAUGCGGCGACGCCGUGUAGGGGAUGACGGGAUUCGGGUUGUAAUCUCCUUUCGAGCGCGAGGAAGCCACCUGGUUGGAAGGGUGGUGACGGUAGUGGUAGAAGAAGCACCGGCUAACUACGUG
This 494-nucleotide ribosomal RNA is filed under the name uncultured bacterium. RNAcentral's name for it is "partial 16S ribosomal RNA". It matches the Rfam family "Bacterial small subunit ribosomal RNA", at positions 28 to 507 of the family's 1533-position model. The record is from RNAcentral.